This 497-nucleotide ribosomal RNA is filed under the name uncultured bacterium. RNAcentral's name for it is "partial 16S ribosomal RNA". It matches the Rfam family "Bacterial small subunit ribosomal RNA", at positions 28 to 507 of the family's 1533-position model. The record is from RNAcentral.
GAUGAACGCUGGCGGCGUGCCUAAUACAUGCAAGUCGAGCGAACAGACGAGGAGCUUGCUCCUUUGACGUUAGCGGCGGACGGGUGAGUAACACGUAGGUAACCUACCUAUAAGACUGGGAUAACUUCGGGAAACCGGAGCUAAUACCGGAUAAUAUUUCGAACCGCAUGGUUCGAUAGUGAAAGAUGGCUUUGCUAUCACUUAUAGAUGGACCUGCGCCGUAUUAGCUAGUUGGUAAGGUAACGGCUUACCAAGGCAACGAUACGUAGCCGACCUGAGAGGGUGAUCGGCGACACUGGAACUGGGACACGGUCCAGGCUACUACGGGAGGCAGCAGUAGGGAAUCGUCCGCAAUGGGCGAAAGCCUGACGGAGCAACGCCGCGUGAGUGAUGAAAGUCUUCGGAUCGUAAAACUCUGUUAUUAGGGAAGAACAAACGUGUAAGUAACUGUGCACGUCGUGACGGUACCUAAUCAGAAAGCCACGGCUAACUACGUG